AGGGGAGUGGCUCAACUGGUAGAGCGGCGGUCUCCAAAACCGUAGGUUGCGGGUUCGAUUCCUGUCUCCCCUGCCA
Molecule: transfer RNA, 76 nt
Filed under: Bacillota bacterium
Lineage: Bacteria; Bacillati; Bacillota
Description: tRNA-Trp
Rfam family: tRNA
About the family: Transfer RNA (tRNA) molecules are approximately 80 nucleotides in length. Their secondary structure includes four short double-helical elements and three loops (D, anti-codon, and T loops). Further hydrogen bonds mediate the characteristic L-shaped molecular structure. tRNAs have two regions of fundamental functional importance: the anti-codon, which is responsible for specific mRNA codon recognition, and the 3' end, to which the tRNAs corresponding amino acid is attached (by aminoacyl-tRNA synthetases). tRNAs cope with the degeneracy of the genetic code in two manners: having more than one tRNA (with a specific anti-codon) for a particular amino acid; and 'wobble' base-pairing, i.e. permitting non-standard base-pairing at the 3rd anti-codon position.
Source: RNAcentral